UACAGAGGGGGCAAGCGUUGUUCGGAAUUACUGGGCGUAAAGGGCGCGUAGGCGGCCUGCUAAGUCGAACGUGAAAUCCCCGGGCUCAACCCGGGAACUGCGUCCGAUACUGGUAGGCUUGAAUCCGGGAGAGGGAUGCGGAAUUCCAGGUGUAGCGGUGAAAUGCGUAGAGAUCCGGAGGAACACCAGUGGCGAAGGCGACACGCUGGGCCGUACCUGACGCUAAAGCGCGACAGCACGGGGAGCAAACGGG
RNAcentral lists this ribosomal RNA (253 nucleotides) under uncultured bacterium. RNAcentral describes it as "partial 16S ribosomal RNA". It matches the Rfam family "Bacterial small subunit ribosomal RNA", at positions 524 to 776 of the family's 1533-position model. The record is from RNAcentral.